AUUUAAUGAUGAAUUUAAAAUACCUGAAUAUCAAUGUUGCUUUUCAUGAGCUUUUUAACACUGAAUUAUA
Molecule: small nucleolar RNA, 70 nt
Organism: Centruroides sculpturatus (bark scorpion)
Lineage: Eukaryota; Metazoa; Arthropoda; Arachnida; Scorpiones; Buthidae
Source: RefSeq, a predicted model, not a curated record